AGCAGCCGCGGUAAUUCCAGCUCCAAUAGCGUAUAUUAAAGUUGUUGCAGUUAAAAAGCUCGUAGUUGAAUUUCGGGAUCAAUACGUCGGUCGUGCUUCGGUACGUACUGGCGUAAUUGAUUUCUCCCCUUCUGACGAACCAUGAUGUCAUUAACUUGGUGUCAUGGGAAAUCAGGACUGUUACUUUGAAAAAUUAGAGUGUUUAAAGCAGGCUCACGCUUGAAUACAUUAGCAUGGAAUAAUGAAAUAGGACGUUCGAUCCUAUUUUGUUGGUUUUUAGGAUCAACGUAAUGAUUAAUAGGGAUAGUUGGGGGCAUUAGUAUUCAAUUGUCAGAGGUGAAAUUCUUGGAUUUAUUGAAGACUAACUACUGCGAAAGCAUUUGCCAAGGAUGUUUUCAUUAAUCAAGAACGAAAGUUAGGGGAUCGAAGACGAUCAGAUACCGUCGUAGUCUUAACCAUAAACUAUGCCGACUAGGGAUCGGAUGAUGUUAAUUUUUAAUGUACUCAUUUCGGCGCC
RNAcentral lists this unclassified non-coding RNA (517 nucleotides) under uncultured Diversispora. RNAcentral describes it as "SSU rRNA". It matches the Rfam family "Eukaryotic small subunit ribosomal RNA", at positions 569 to 1087 of the family's 1831-position model. Lineage: Eukaryota; Fungi; Glomeromycota; Glomeromycetes; Diversisporales; Diversisporaceae. The record is from RNAcentral.